CGCUGGCGGCAGGCCUAACACAUGCAAGUCGAGCGGUAGAGAGAAGCUUGCUUCUCUUGAGAGCGGCGGACGGGUGAGUAAUACCUAGGAAUCUGCCUGAUAGUGGGGGAUAACGUUCGGAAACGGACGCUAAUACCGCAUACGUCCUACGGGAGAAAGCAGGGGACCUUCGGGCCUUGCGCUAUCAGAUGAGCCUAGGUCGGAUUAGCUAGUUGGUGAGGUAAUGGCUCACCAAGGCUACGAUCCGUAACUGGUCUGAGAGGAUGAUCAGUCACACUGGAACUGAGACACGGUCCAGACUCCUACGGGAGGCAGCAGUGGGGAAUAUUGGACAAUGGGCGAAAGCCUGAUCCAGCCAUGCCGCGUGUGUGAAGAAGGUCUUCGGAUUGUAAAGCACUUUAAGUUGGGAGGAAGGGCAGUUACCUAAUACGUGAUUGUCUUGACGUUACCGACAGAAUAAGCACCGGCUAACUCUGUGCCAGCAGCCGCGGUAAUACAGAGGGUGCAAGCGUUAAUCGGAAUUACUGGGCGUAAAGCGCGCGUAGGUGGUUUGUUAAGUUGAAUGUGAAAUCCCCGGGCUCAACCUGGGAACUGCAUCCAAAACUGGCAAGCUAGAGUAUGGUAGAGGGUAGUGGAAUUUCCUGUGUAGCGGUGAAAUGCGUAGAUAUAGGAAGGAACACCAGUGGCGAAGGCGACUACCUGGACUGAUACUGACACUGAGGUGCGAAAGCGUGGGGAGCAAACAGGAUUAGAUACCCUGGUAGUCC
This 767-nucleotide ribosomal RNA is filed under the name uncultured bacterium. Its description in RNAcentral is "bacterial SSU rRNA". It matches the Rfam family "Bacterial small subunit ribosomal RNA", at positions 34 to 796 of the family's 1533-position model. The record is from RNAcentral.